GCAAAGCCGAUUCUCCGCGCUUUGUUAACUGAAUCGGAUUUAUUAUAAGUUUAAAAUCCAAACUGCAAUAAGGGGUUUAUCUGAAUCUACAAAGCCACUGCGGAGAUCUAAACUCUCUCUCACACACACAGCGCUCUGAUUAUAGCCUCGUUCACGGUGAAUCUUCACACUGAAAACUGAAAGAAAAAUCUUUUUUACUUGAAACAUCUGCAACAUCUGUCCUCGUGCCCAGGUGCCAGUUUUUGUUUUUUUUUCUUCCUUGAGGAAUUUAUCCUGACCCACCUGGUGGAGUUCACACAGAUCAUGGAAAGGUGGAUGCAGAGAAAAGAAAUGGAAUGAAAAGGACAUGUCUGGAGGAGGACAGAAAAACAACAACAAAACAAAAGUCAGAUAAGAGUGCACCGAAGCUGCGAUAGGAUUUACAUUUGACCUUCAGUCUGUGUGUGUGUGUGUGUGUGUGUGUGUGUGUGUGUGUGUGUGUGUGUGUGGCAUUAGGCACAGAAUAGCACUGGCCCCACUAAUACAUUGUGUUUUGUAAGUAUGAUGCAAAAAUUUAGUUUAGCACUUUUUUAUACACUUUGACAUAUAUAUAUGACACAAUAAGAAAAACACACGAUUAUAAAAAACUAUUUCUAGACAUUGCUUUAGGUAAAGCAAGUUUACCUACUUGGAAAGUUGUUUGCCAAGAGAAAACGAACUUUUAAAGCUUGAAAUGAGUAAAAAUGUCUAAUAAUGUUAUACUAGGUUUAUUGUAAUCUUAUAA
Molecule: long non-coding RNA, 763 nt
Organism: Ictalurus punctatus (channel catfish)
Lineage: Eukaryota; Metazoa; Chordata; Actinopteri; Siluriformes; Ictaluridae
Source: Ensembl